AUAGAACAAACCGUAGAAGCAAGCGUGUUUGACCGUGUUCAAUUCUAACAAAGAUAUAGUCAAGGUUUGGGUCGUCGUUAAUUAAUUUAAUUAACAAUAAUGAAAACCCCUCUCCCUACUUAAUUAAUCAGAUGAAGCACUUAAAUUAAUUGUCUUGGAUCUUCUUAAUUGCUCUCCAACAAGAAAGGUCAAAAAAAGGGGCAAAAUAAAAAUGAGUUUUCAUCAUGAACACCCUCCUCCUCAAGAAGAAAGCACGACAGUAUAUCCGCCACAACAAGGCGGAUAUCCUGCGAUACAAGGGUACGGAGGCUACACGGCGCAACAAGGGUAUCCGGCGGGGCAAGUAUACCCAGCGGCAGGGACACUGACACUACAACAAGGGUAUCCGGGGCUAGGAUACCCACCGCAACAAGGGUACCUAGGACAAGGAUAUGGUGUAUACCCACCAGGUUAUGUGUACCCGACUCCACCAUAUACCCCUCAACUCACGUAUGUGCAGCCACCUCCUCCUCAGCAGCUCAAUAAUCAUAUUAGUAGUCGUGGAUUUAUCAAAAGAUGGCGCUACUGCUGGUCGUGGUGCUACCGUUGUGCAGGAAGUUGUUAAUACUCAGCUCCCUAUAGUAAUCAUCAUCAGCUUGCAUUGGCUGCAGUUCAAUUCGUUGUUGAUGUACGUCUUCUAGAUGAAUGCAUGGCUCACUCGAUGGUUAUCAGCUAGCUAGCAUACUGAUGAUGACUUUGAAAGGCUUAACAUUAUAAUAAUGUUGCCAUAGAUACAACCAUACCAUGUGUGAACCGUACCGUAGGAUUUAUAUAUAUAUAGGUAUAUCCACGUAUUUAUAUUGGAGAUGAUAUCAAUUGAUAUCAUCUUCCUCCAUACCAGUGCUGAUAUUAAGCAACAGCAUUUCAUAUCUCCAAUAUUGUGUACGUGUACUCUUAAAUGUGUACAUUUUUCAA
Chenopodium quinoa (quinoa) is the source of this 954-nucleotide long non-coding RNA. RefSeq lists it as uncharacterized. The transcript is spliced from 3 exons. The record is from RefSeq and is a predicted model, not a curated record. NCBI's taxonomy places the organism in Eukaryota, Viridiplantae, Streptophyta, Magnoliopsida, Caryophyllales, Amaranthaceae.